AACGAACGCUGGCGGCAUGCCUAACACAUGCAAGUCGAACGAGACCUUCGGGUCUAGUGGCGCACGGGUGCGUAACGCGUGGGAACCUGCCCUUAGGUUCGGAAUAACUCCCCGAAAGGGGUGCUAAUACCGGAUAAUGUCUUCGGACCAAAGAUUUAUCGCCUUUGGAUGGGCCCGCGUUGGAUUAGCUAGUUGGUAGGGUAAAAGCCUACCAAGGCGACGAUCCAUAGCUGGUCUGAGAGGAUGAUCAGCCACACUGGGACUGAGACACGGCCCAGACUCCUACGGGAGGGAGCAGUGGGGGAUAUUGGACAAUGGGCGAGGGCCUGAUCCAGCAAUGCCGGGUGAGUGAUGAAGGGGGUAGGGUUGUAAAGCUCUUUUACCCGGGAUGAUAAUGACGGUACCGGGAGAAUAAGCACCGGCUAACUCCGUG
Molecule: ribosomal RNA, 433 nt
Filed under: uncultured bacterium
Lineage: Bacteria
Description: partial 16S ribosomal RNA
Rfam family: Bacterial small subunit ribosomal RNA
Source: RNAcentral